RNAcentral lists this long non-coding RNA (5853 nucleotides) under Oryza brachyantha (malo sina). RNAcentral's name for it is "long non-coding RNA (OBRA_LNC001248)". The record is from RNAcentral. Lineage: Eukaryota; Viridiplantae; Streptophyta; Magnoliopsida; Poales; Poaceae.
GCGGCGGGGAGGCGGUGUAGCUGCCGGUGCGAUGCUCGUCGCUCUGGAUGCGAUCCUGUCGCAGAGCGGGAGGGUUGGGUUUCCCCGCCGCCAACGACCUCCUCUCUGCCUGCCGUGCGUUCGAUGACGGGGACAUCCGGACAUGCCCAUACCAUGGCGGCGUCGCCGCCACCCUAACCUUACUUCUCCUGGUAGUUCCUCUCCUGGCGUACUCUGCAUUUCCCUUAUCUCACCUGCGUUUUGCUCUCACCCAGUUUAAUGUCUAGCUAAAUUCCUAUGCGAUGUGAUAGGGAGACAUUCCUGAUACUUUCCCCUUCUGUGAUGAGUUGUGAUUUAAUCCGUUUGAGGCUCGGCUAUCGAGCUCAUGUGAUGUGGGUUGAAUUCCUACUGAGAAGUGAAUGUCGACACAAAUUUCAUUUACCAUUAUUAGGUCACUGAUUGAUUUUAUAUACACCUUCAAAAAUUUAUGCUUAUAAGGCUCGUGACAGUACAGUUUCAUCCCCUCUGAUUAAUGAUUAAUUACAUGGGCGUUCAAAAAUUUCUUCCAGUGAGCGUGAACUUUUUGAACCUCCCUAGGAACAUCACCAAGAUUAUGAUCAGCUUACCUUCAUCAGUCCACUUGCCAACAAACCCAUAUGAAGUAGCUUUGCAGGUAGCAUCAGGUUUCAACAACUUCUCGCAGCUAUAGCCUAGUGAGUAUCCUACAUUGGCAUAUGCACUGCGAAAGAAAAUUUUGUAUCAUUGCUUGGAAGGAGCAAAUAUAUUUUUUUUAUUCUUAGUAAAAAUGACAAAUAUGUACUUGAUAAUGCCUAAAAUAGAUAGAUUGAUCAAUUGAUCUUUGUUAGCAUGAUUGCUGAUACGUUCCUUGAUUGUACUGAUUACAUAUAAAAUUUAGUUCAGCAUUUUAUGUUGACUCACUUCAUAUUUCAUUGAUUCUUUUACGGGCGGUUAGGAAUAGGGCACAUAGUUAAUUUAAAGGCAACAGUUGAUGGUAGUAACGGUUUCAAAGUUGGGGGUUGAAAAUCAAUCCAAGCCCAUAGAUGAGGGUUUCCUCGAAAUAUUGGUGUGAACUUACCUGAUAAUUUCAAAUGCUAUGCGGAAGAUGAAAUUUAGUGGAUCAGCAGAUAUUGACUUCCUUUCUGUUAUACAUGCUAGAAUUGUGAACAUUGCUAAGCAAGACUUGGAAAGGAUAUAAUUCAUCCAUAUUGCCUGAUCAUUUGAAUUUCUCUCUCUUUCUGUCAAAGGCUGGUUAUAAAAAUUGAUAGGGCAAACUGCAUCAUCAGAAGGAUGGUACCUGCAAUUAAGCUAAUGGUAUGUUAUCAUCGAAGUUUACACAGGUAGCACACUGAUAGAGGUCUUUUUUGAGUUAACCAGAAACAUUAAAACUUCCUUGUUGAGUCAUAAUUGUAGCUUCAUGUGAACUUGGUGGUGGUUUUCUGAUUUUUAUACGAGUGCCUAUGAAUUGAUUAUCUUGAUUGUGGAGCAUGUUCUUCUCCUGCUUCUUGUGACCUCUGUUAUAGUACAGGAUUUUGGGGUGGUUUUGAUUUUGGUCUAUAUAUGUAUUUUUUUCUUUUCAAGUGUACAAUUUGUUGGCUUAGCUUUACUAAACAAGCAUUUACAAUUUCCCACCUGGAUGGUGUUUAUACUUCCAUAUUAUUACCUAGAACUUCAUUAAAAUUGAAACCCUCGCAAGAGCAUAAGGUUUGCCUUCUGCAAGUGAAUAGUUUUUCUUUCUUUCAUCAAGAGAGCUGAACAACUUUAACCAAGAAAUAUAUGUUAUUUGAAGCUCAGCUGUUUAUGUUGCUUCCAUUCAGAAACUAUGUGCAUAAGUUAUUGUCUGCAUUUUAGUGAUGGUGAUUGUGCCAUAUUUAUGUUAAAGUUCUGAAAGCCUGAUAAAUGCUUCAAAAUAGUAAAUGUCAUGAAAUGUUUAGAGGAGACACUUACAUGACAAGUGCAAAUAGAAGUAAUAUUGGAGGAGAAAGGGUUGAUAUGUCAACAAUAGCUUCACCAGCAUGCCUUGUAUUUGCGCUCUGGAACAGUGAGCACACCAGCUUCUGUAACCAGUUCAGUCCAUCAAAGGCACUUGUGUUCCACUCAAAAAAGGAAAGAAACAUCACUUGCAAUAGAAUUAGCCCCCCAACAGUGAAGACCGUGUCGACAGAAUUCUUCUGUGGUUGCAAAUACCUGUAGCCAGUAUCCUUUGGAUGCUGAAGCAUGUAGGCAUAUUCUUGUCUUCUGCUAACCUUCCCCAAGGCCCAUAUGCUUAACCUCAAUAGUGGUGAUAACAUAGUGUUGCCUGCUAGAACCUGUGGGAUAACCAGAAGUAGAAGACUGGUAUUCUUUCUGAAUAUUGCCAUGUUAUCAUUUACCGGGGUGAAGCCACAGUUUGCAAAUGAGGACACUGCUGGGAAGAUGGAAAACGUCCAUAUUUUGAUAUCUUUACUCUUCAGGGGAAGUCUUGUAUAUGAGUCAAUCUGAACAAAAAUAAUAGUGACUAAGAAGCUGCAAAAAACAGCUGCUAUGAAGUAGCCUGUCACUAUAUGAGCCAAAAUAUUGCGGCACUUUUGUUUCAUGGUUUUGCUUUCCUGUACCCAGUUAGGUGAUGUGGUUGCUUCUGAUUGGCAGUCUUCUGAAUUAUUUUGAGUGCUGUUGUUUACAGCAUCAAAGGAUUCAAUGUCCCUGCUUGUUGAAGAUAAUCUUUUUGGGAGGAUUUCAUUUGUGUUGAUCCCAGCAUUGCUGAAGUGCAGCGCCAGCAUUGAAAUGAACACUUCUCCUCCCAGUAGCGUCAGAAGUAUUAACACCCAGAGCUGCUGGUCAGAAAAGUCUUCCAUCUCUACUGUUGCCAUCCUUGAGACUGUCACUGUGGACACAGAAGUGAACAUCAAAUCCAGGGUCCUUGGAGUUGGCUUGUGUCGUGGCUUGUGGAUCUUCAGAUCAAGGAAACCAACAAAGGAUAAUGUCAUGAAGUACAAAAGUUGAACUAUUAAUGGCUUGCUUUGGAACAUGAAAUACCAGAAACAGCGUCUGAAGAAACACAUUGCACAUUUGGAGAUGGAACAAAGCCUCACGGAGAUAAACACAUGGAGGUGCUUAACUUUCCCUGUAAUUUUCCUAACCACUUCGAAAUUGGACUUUGGGAGCUUCAUGGUAAUGGAAGAUGCUGUGACGUAACUAGAAUUGAAGUAAAUGGAUGCAGCAUUGGAAGUUUGUGGGCAUAGAGUUCAGUAUGCUGUAGUUGCAACUGGAAGGUGUUUCUUCGGUUUGAAGAAUCCUAUCUUUGCCACUACUGCUCACGGGAACCAAGUUCUGAAUCUUAAUAUGUAGGAUAGUGUAAGGCAGAUGUGCUCAUUUUGCAUAAUCAUGAUGCUGAUGGUGUGUACAGGGCCCAACCCAGGCAUGAUUGGUGUAUGCACAAGCAUGUGCAUAGAGUAUUAUAAUUCCCAACUACUAUAUGUUCCUGAGUGAAUAGAUUGUCAGCAAUUAGCAUUUUUUGAAUCUGAGAAUAUCUUCAAUUUAGAUUAGCUCUUGGUCUUCACAUGCAAACCUAUUCUGCCUCAAUAAUUCGUUAUUUUUGAAUCUAUUAUUAUCAUAUGGUAUUGUAAAAAAACAAUUUUGUUGUUCACUCGUACUGCUUACCUGAAUCAGUAAGUUACAGGUAAAAGUAUACAGAUAGUUUUGGAUUUUUCUGGCUUAGUUUCACCAGUGUAUCAUGAUGAUAAAAUUUACUCACAGUAACCAUUAUUUUGAAUUUACUACUGCAUAUUGCUGUUUAUAGUGCCUGUUGAUGAUUCCAGUAAUCAAUGUUAUGGCUAAUUGUGAUUUCCUUUGCGUUCACUUAAUUGAGCAUUUAUGUUUUUAUAGCAGAUUACAAUUUCCUAUCUUUCAAUACUUAUGUCAAUACUUGGUGAGCUUGUUCAAGUAUUGCAGUAGAAGGUUCCUGCAAAUGUACAACUGGCAUUGCAUCUAACUAAGUUUCCAGGCUUUGCCUCCUUCCAUGCUGAACUUCUUGAGCCUCCCAAAGAACAUUACAAAAAUGAAUAUGAGUUUGCCAGAGUCACUCCACCUCCCAACAAAGCCGGUCCAUCUAUCUGUGCAGAGAUGGUCCGGAUUGAUCUGUCUACUGCAACUGUAGCCCAUUGAGAACCCCACAUUUCCAUAUGCACUGCAAACGUGGACAGAUCCGUCAGGUUACACGAAGAUAUGACUAUUUUUGUUGUGUAUUAUUGUCAAGCAUGUGCGGAUGUGCCACUAUUCAGAAGAUUCAGAAAUAUUAUGACAAAUUCUAAAUUUGCCUGACAGGUGUUAUUUUGCAUUUUGCUGUUUUUCAUCAAAUAAAUUGUUAAUUUACUUGGUCUGCAUUUUUUCAGAUACAAAACCAGUUAGUCUGACUUGCCUGACGACUUCGACAAUAAUGCUUAGCACGUUGAAAUUGAGUGGGUCUUCUUUGAGCUUUCUCCUCUCGGUGAUGCAGAUAGCAAUGACAAAGAUGGUCAGGUAGGAGAGUUGUGACAAAACUGUACUCUUGAGCAAUCUGAUUCCCUGGUUCUCUGCAGUAUUAUCCUUAGCAUUGGAAUUCUCUUCAAACGGAAACCACGUCGUGUAUGGAGGUAGAUACCUAGAAGCGAGAUGAAGCAUAAUAUGAGACAACAAACUAUACCGAAUCCAAACAGACAUAUCAGUUUAUUUGCAGCAUCUUUUCCAGUUGAAGUCUAAGUACUUGAUUGCUUAUUUAGUGCAUUGAAAAUGCAGGUAUGUCCACUCAACUGCAUAUACAUAUGAUCAGAAAUCCACCCUUGCGUGGAUGUUCAAAAGUGAAUGAUAGUUCAGGGAAGGAGUUGCAGCUCUGCUUGCCUAUAACACGACAAGAAGAUGAAAACAAUGGUUCAACUGACUGGAAGCUUUGAUUCACAGCAUGGCCUUGACAAAACAACAUGGGAACAAAUACUGGCCGGUGAAGAAAUUCACUUGCACGCGCUCGCCAUGUCGGCGGGAGAUGGCACAAUUUAGGAGUUGCUUUAGCCAUGCAGGUUAUUUUUAAAGGCUGCACAAGUUGACUACUAUCACCGCUAUUUUGCAUGCAUCAAAUGGGGAAAGAUGGCUCGUUCUAGACCUGGCUUAAACUGUCAGCGUGUGUUAUGGAAUUAUCGCAUGUGAAAGUUUGAGCCAUAUUCACCUUGAAAGAUCCAAGGUUGGAACAAAUUCCUGCAACGACGCGUCUCCCAUUUUCGCAUAAGCGAAAUGAGAAGGUAAUAGUCAUCAUCGUUCACGGAUGGCAAGUCAUCAUCGUUCACGGAUGGCAAGCUUCUGAACGGAGACUUGGAACAGGAAUGCUCUUACUUUUUAGCAAUUUGAUUAUGAUGACCUUGCAGGUUGAAGUGGAAUGGUGCCUUGUGGUUUCUGUGAAUCUAGAGGGAGCUGUUGCCCUCUUCUUUAUUUGUCCGUCAAACAUCUGGGAGACUGGGAGGAAGGGUCAAGGCACGGUCAACUCUCACCGUGAUCGUACUGUGAAUGAGCACGAGUGAUGGUGCUUUGACGACUGAAACCAAGAAAAUUCUCUCCAUGAUAUUCUUCUACGUUCUAACUUCUACCUACCUAAGAAACUUGUUACUACUAUCUUCUUGUGUUUAUAGCAAAAGGAAUGAAAGGAUCUAUUCGGAACAUAGAAAUUUUAUGUUGUGGGAUUUUUAUACUAGUAAACAGUUCGGACUGAUUUUCACAAACUGAAGAGGCCCUCAACGAUUGACGGGGGUGACGAUAUAUUUGUAAUGAAAGUAAUUUAUGAAUAAAAAUUUUAUAUAUGUAUUCUAAGGAUCUAAAAUUCAAGAUUAGAAAAUAAAGUUACAAAAUGACGAG